This is a long non-coding RNA of Pseudoliparis swirei, 864 nucleotides long. RefSeq lists it as uncharacterized. The transcript is spliced from 4 exons. NCBI's taxonomy places the organism in Eukaryota, Metazoa, Chordata, Actinopteri, Perciformes, Liparidae. The record is from RefSeq and is a predicted model, not a curated record.
AACUCAGUGUUUGACAUCUGAUGGUAAACGAUUGCAAUUUUUCUACGAUCUUCAGAUUUCUUUUCUUCAGAUUUCCUUCCUAUAUUGACUUUGGGCCUUUUAACAUUUAUUUGACCACCAUACGAAACUUGAUCGAAAUAUACUUCUACAUGUUAUCUGUUGUAUCUACAUUAUUCUGUAUAAAAACAUUCAUUCAUUCACAAUUCAUUCAUAAUUUACUUGAGGAAAUAAAACAAAGAUUGGAUUAAAAACUGAAAAAAGAAACUGAGGAAAUACAUUUUGUCAUGCUUUCCAAUCCUGUCAAUAAUUUAAAAACCCCUCAUUGUCAUUGCAACUUCAUGUUGAGAACUUGUAAAAGUUUGAUUGUAAUUGCCUUGUAAUGUCCACAAUAUGUAUCUGCAGGACUCCUCUAUGAUGUGGCGUGUCCUGGUGUAAACGGCGAGCUGCAAUGUCCUCCGGGACAAGUGAUGGAAGUGAAGGCAGUAGAAUCUGGUUUGGAAAGCGAUGCCGACUGCACCGACAGAACAAAGUCCGCCACGGUCUUGAACGAGGACUCCUUACAUUCGUACAUGAUAUAUUGGAUCAAGCUCACAAAAUGGAAAAGUUGAAAUUGUGGCUGCCAAAUUUGGCCGUUUCGACCAGACCACCUGCACAAAAACCCCUCUGAUUAUGACCUUCGCUGCAAGUUUCGAAACUCAAAACCAAGUGGAAUUCAAGUGCAACGGGUUGGGAUCCUGUUCAGUUGCAGCCGGCAAGGAGGAUCUGGGAGAAACUGUUCCCAGCAAUUAUAACAAUUACCUCAUGGUGGAUUAUAUUUGUGUGUCACAAUAAACACAAGCACUGUCUUGCAAACAGUUGAGGCAA